UCAAUCUCAGAAGCGUGAGGGAAUUGAUUUAUAAAAAAGGUUACAAGAAGCUAUAUAAGCAGAGAACGCAAUCAUCGAGCAUGCUCUGAGCAAGUUUUGGCAUCCUUUGUUUGGAAGUUCUUAUCCACGAGAUCAUGAAUUGUGAUGCCGCAAUUCGAUAUGCUUUGAAUGACUGUGAAACACAUGAUUUCUGGUCGUGACAAUUACAAACAUGUUGUCACAAUAAAUGACUGUUGGUGCUUCUUCUUUUUUUUUUUUUUUUUCUGUUGUAGAUCUUCAAAAAUUCUGCUUACCUAAACUGCUUCACAUGCAGCAUCUGGUUGCUACAGCAUAUUCCUCUUCGACUGAGGGUAAUGCUACAAUUUUUUUGCUUUUAGAUGAUCAUGAAGUUGGUUUUAUGCCCAAGCAAUACAAAUAUCCAGAUGUGCUCGUUCGAUCAUUAACAAAACUUGCCCAAUCACUAUCAAUGAAACCUGUAAGUUUGUUUUCCUUUUCCUUUACAUACUUGAUGCCAAGCUUUCUUGUUCCUUGUGGGUAGAGGAAAAUCCUUUCACCUGGCCCUUGCAUAAAUCUUUAUAUUAGGUUGACUGGAUAGAGAAUAUCAGGCUAUGUAUGUGUUAAAUAAAUUAGAGAACCAACUAAACUUCUGUAAAUUCUUGCAUAUACCUUAGUUUCACCAUUUGCAAUUUCUCAUUUGUUACCAAUAGAGUGGAAAUUGGUUUGCAAUUGUUCAUGUGGAAUUUCUCCAAUAAAUCUUCAAGAUAUUUUUCUUGAGAAAUAAAGAUUUGAACUUUUGCUUAUUGAACUUGAAUGCCCAAGAAAUAUCUCAUGAGACCUAAUUCUAUCAUCUCAUAUUCCUUCAUCAUAGCGUCUUUAAAUUCCUACACCAUCCUAACAUCUGUCCCAGUAUAAAUUAAGUCAUCGACAUUUAGACAAACGAUUAGGAAUUGUUGCUUACCUUUCUAUUUCACAUAAAGAGAUGGUUCACUUUGCCUCUUUUGAAAUCCACUUUGACAAAGACGGUUGUCAAUUUUGCUAUUCUAGGCUUUAAGUUGUUGUUUUAAUCCAUACAAUCCUUUCUUCAAUUUAUAAACCUUAUCCUCUUGACCUUUCAUCACAUAGUUAGGAGGUUGACUUACAUAGACCUCUUUUUAAAGUUCACCAUUGAGGAAGGUAAAUUUUACAUUAAGUUGGUAUACCUCAUACUCCAAUUGAGUUCUUAAUACCUAAGUAGCUCUAAUUGUUUCCAUUCGAGCUACUGGUGCAAUCAUUAAAAUCAAUACCAGGCUACUGUGAAUACUCUUUUGCUUCUAGUUGCGCUUUAUGCUUUUGAAUGCUAUCAUUUUCUUUAUACUUGGUCUUAUAGACCCAUUUUAAUCCAACAAUUUCUUUUUCUUUUGACAAAUCUACCCACUCUCAUGUUUGAUUCUUUUCAAUACUAGUAAGUUCUUCAUUCAUGGCUUUAAUCCAAUGCUCUUCUUUUGCAGCUUCCUCAAAACUUCGUGGUUCACAACAAAAAAAAAAAAAUGCUACAUCACAAGAUUCAUAAAUUUCUCUUAAAGAACUUUCCUUUCUUGGUGGAGAUUUAGAUUCGACCCUUACAUGUGAGCUUGAAGGUUUUGAUGG
Molecule: long non-coding RNA, 1626 nt
Filed under: Theobroma cacao (cacao)
Lineage: Eukaryota; Viridiplantae; Streptophyta; Magnoliopsida; Malvales; Malvaceae
Description: long non-coding RNA (TCAC_LNC004456)
Source: RNAcentral